CGGAAGGGCAUCGGCAUCAGGGACGGUCUUCGGGUGCGGCGAGCGGCGGACGGUGAUAUGCUAGGAUCUGCUGGAUGGGGGUACUCGGGAAUCGAGUAUACCGCUACUCCUACGGGAAAGCGGGGGUCUUCGGCCUCCGUACCGUGACCAGGCGGUUACUAUUGUGAGGAAGGUCCCAGGCGCAUCCGAGUGGCUGAAGGUGUCAGCCCUGAAUGAACCGGCCGAUCCUACGGAGGACGGGGAUUUGGCAGGCAAGCUGUCCCCCUGCGGUGGGAUAUUCUCUAUUGCGCCUUAAUUUCAGACUUGAUA
RNAcentral lists this ribosomal RNA (309 nucleotides) under bacterium A16b. RNAcentral's name for it is "partial 16S ribosomal RNA". The record is from RNAcentral.